GGCCGCCUGGCGAAAUGGCAUCGCGUCUGACUACGAUUUAAGCCGUUAUGGCUAGAUCUAACCAUCAGGAGAUUGCAGGUUCGACCCCUGCGGUGGUCA
Molecule: non-coding RNA, 99 nt
Organism: Mycena amicta
Lineage: Eukaryota; Fungi; Basidiomycota; Agaricomycetes; Agaricales; Mycenaceae
Source: the annotation of a GenBank genome assembly